UGCCAGCAGCCGCGGUAAUACAGAGGGUGCAAACGUUGUUCGGAAUCACUGGGCAUAAAGCGCACGUAGGCGGUCUGUCAAGUGCGAAGUGAAAGCCCACGGCUCACCCGUGGAACUGCUUUGCAUACUGGCAGACUCGAGGACGGUAGGGGAGAGCGGAACUCUUGGAGGAGCGGUGAAAUGCGUAGAUAUCAAGAGGAACACCAAAGGCGAAGGCAGCUCUCUGGUCCGUUUCUGACGCUGAGGUGCGAAAGCCAGGGUAGCGAACGGGAUUAGAUA
This 279-nucleotide ribosomal RNA is filed under the name uncultured bacterium. RNAcentral describes it as "partial 16S ribosomal RNA". It matches the Rfam family "Bacterial small subunit ribosomal RNA", at positions 506 to 784 of the family's 1533-position model. The record is from RNAcentral.